GAACUCUCACCACGCCAGUGUCCUAAUGUGCAGUGCAGGCCAUCUCCGGCGGUGAAUUAAGCAAGAUUUUGGAUGGGAGCUGAGCCUUGACUGCGUUGCAAGUAACUAAUCUGUUGCGCAUUUCCGAGAUGGCUCCAGCUGCAGUUUGUUUUGGGCGAUGGUGUCAACACCGUGACUCAGCAGCCGCAAGGAAUAGGCUGGGAUAAGACCGAGGAAAAGAAAUAUCACUUCUGCACGUGAUUGGAUUAAAAAGUCGCACGUGACCUCCUUGUAAGGCAGACACAAGGAAAUCUGCAGAUGCUGGAAAUUCAAGCAACACACACAAAAAAUGCUGGUGGAACGCAGCAGGCCAGGCAGCAUCUAUAGGAAGAGGUACAGUCGACGUUUCGGGCCGGGACCCUUCGUCUGUAACUCAGUUGCUCAGCUGAUGAAGGCAGCACUGACACCACCUUGCGAUUUCCAAGCAGCCCCAAGAUCUCUCUGUUCAGAAAUCCCUCUGAUAUUCAGGGCCCUGAUAUUCACCGUGCACGUUCUGCCCCGGUUUAACUUCCCAAAAUCCAACACUUCACACUUAGUUAUGGAGCAAUAUAACACACCGGCCCAGCCAAUCCAUGCUGACCACAGUGCCCACCCAGUUGCCUGAGUCUCCUACCGGCCUCCCAAUGUACAGUACUUAUUCAAGUACAUCAGACGGCUGCCUUUGAGGAGUUUCUACGUUCCCUCGGGGUGCUCCCAUUUCCUCCCGGAGUCCAAAGACCAUAUAACAAUUAUAACAAUUACAGCACAAAAACAGGCCAUCUCGGCCCUUCUAAUCCGUGCCGAACUCUUACUCUCACCUAGUCCCACCGACCUACACUCAGCCCAUAACCCUCCAUUCCUUUCCUGUCCAUAUAUCUAUCCAAUUUAACUUUAAAUGACAACAUCGAACCUGCCUCAACCACUUCUGCUGGAAGCUCAUUCCACACAGCUACCACUCUCUGAGUAAAGAAGUUCCCCCUCAUGUUACCCCUAAACUUUUUGCCUUUUAACUCUCAACUCACGUCCUCUUGUUUGAAUCUCCCCCACUCUCAAUGGAAAAAGCCUAUCCAGGUCAACUUUAUCUACCCCCCUCAUAAUUUUAAAUACCUCUAUCAAGUCCCCCCUCAACCUUCUAUGCUCCAAAGAAUAAAGACCCAACUUGUUCAACCUUUCUCUGUAACUUAGGAGAUGAAACCCAGGUAACAUUCUAGUAAAUCUCCUCUGUACUCUCUCAAUUUUUAUUGACAUCUUCCCUAUAAUUCGGUGUCCAAACUGUACACAAUACUCCAAAUUUGGCCUUACCAAUGCCUUAUACAAUUUCAACAUUACAUCCCAACUUCCAUACUCAAUGCUCUGAUUAAUAAAGGCCAGCAUACCAAAAGCUUUCUUCGCCACCCUAUCCACAUGAGAUUCUGCCUUCAGGGAACUAUGCACCAUUAUUCCUAGAUCCCGACAUUUCGGACAUUUUGGUUGGCACGUUAAUUGAUCGUUGAAAACUGUCCCGUGAUUGGGCCAGCAUUAAAUUGGGGGGUCGCUGGGCAGCUCGACUCGAGGGGCCGGAAGAGCCUACUCCAUGCUGUAUCUCAAUAAAUAAAUUGAUAAUUGAUUAUUGUAUCUGCAUCAAUCACUUCCUCAGCAGCU
Molecule: long non-coding RNA, 1659 nt
Organism: Mobula hypostoma (lesser devil ray)
Lineage: Eukaryota; Metazoa; Chordata; Chondrichthyes; Myliobatiformes; Myliobatidae
Exons: 3
Source: RefSeq, a predicted model, not a curated record